RNAcentral lists this ribosomal RNA (443 nucleotides) under uncultured bacterium. RNAcentral describes it as "bacterial SSU rRNA". It matches the Rfam family "Bacterial small subunit ribosomal RNA", at positions 958 to 1397 of the family's 1533-position model. The record is from RNAcentral.
AACGCGAAGAACCUUACCUGGGCUUGAACCGCACAGGACCAGCUUGAGAAAUCAGGCCUUCCCGCAAGGGACCUGUGUAGAGGUGCUGCAUGGCUGUCGUCAGCUCGUGCCGUGAGGUGUUGGGUUAAGUCCCGCAACGAGCGCAACCCUUGUCUCAUGUUGCCAGCGCGUUAUGGCGGGGACUCGUGAGAGACUGCCGGGGUCAACUCGGAGGAAGGUGGGGAUGACGUCAAGUCAUCAUGCCCCUUAUGUCCAGGGCUUCACACAUGCUACAAUGGCCGGUACAAAGGGCUGCGAUGCCGUGAGGUUAAGCGAAUCCUUUAAAGCCGGUCUCAGUUCGGAUCGGGGUCUGCAACUCGACCCCGUGAAGUCGGAGUCGCUAGUAAUCGCAGAUCAGCAACGCUGCGGUGAAUACGUUCCCGGGCCUUGUACACACCGCAUAC